This 198-nucleotide ribosomal RNA is filed under the name uncultured bacterium. RNAcentral describes it as "partial 16S ribosomal RNA". It matches the Rfam family "Bacterial small subunit ribosomal RNA", at positions 328 to 539 of the family's 1533-position model. The record is from RNAcentral.
ACGCUCGACACCUACGGGAGCAGCAGUCGGGAAUAUUGCGCAAUGGAGGAAACUCUGACGCAGUGACGCCGCGUAUAGGAAGAAGGUUUUCGGAUUGUAAACUAUUGUCGUUAGGGAAGAAAAAAGACAGUACCUAAGGAGGAAGCUCCGGCUAACUACGUCCCAGCAGCCGCGGUAAUCUGAGCGGGCUGGCAAGGC